This 261-nucleotide ribosomal RNA is filed under the name Staphylococcus aureus. Its description in RNAcentral is "partial 16S ribosomal RNA". It matches the Rfam family "Bacterial small subunit ribosomal RNA", at positions 254 to 507 of the family's 1533-position model. Lineage: Bacteria; Bacillati; Bacillota; Bacilli; Caryophanales; Staphylococcaceae. The record is from RNAcentral.
AAGGUAACGGCUUACCAAGGCAACGAUGCAUAGCCGACCUGAGAGGGUGAUCGGCCACACUGGAACUGAGACACGGUCCAGACUCCUACGGGAGGCAGCAGUAGGGAAUCUUCCGCAAUGGGCGAAAGCCUGACGGAGCAACGCCGCGUGAGUGAUGAAGGUCUUCGGAUCGUAAAACUCUGUUAUUAGGGAAGAACAUAUGUGUAAGUAACUGUGCACAUCUUGACGGUACCUAAUCAGAAAGCCACGGCUAACUACGUG